GUCCAGAUGACGAGUCUCAAAUAGGACCAAACGUGCGUUUUGGAU
Molecule: non-coding RNA, 45 nt
Filed under: Schistosoma mansoni
Lineage: Eukaryota; Metazoa; Platyhelminthes; Trematoda; Strigeidida; Schistosomatidae
Source: RNAcentral